AUCGCUUCUCGGCCUUUUGGCUAAGAUCAAGUGUAGUAUCUGUUCUUAUCAGUUUAAAAAUAAGUAUUUCAUACAAUGUCCAAUCUAGUAUUGUUUCUUUUAGCUUUUUAUUUUUUGAAAUAAUUUAUGGAAUUUCAUAAAAGUUGCUGAAAUAGAAGAGUUUACAUACACCCUACAGCUGGCAUCCCUAA
This is a small nuclear RNA of Cynocephalus volans (Philippine flying lemur), 191 nucleotides long. RefSeq annotates it as U2 spliceosomal RNA. Lineage: Eukaryota; Metazoa; Chordata; Mammalia; Dermoptera; Cynocephalidae. The record is from RefSeq and is a predicted model, not a curated record. The transcript has a single exon.